GCCCUUACGUGCCCCCGCAGGAACGGGAGGAGAACCUCGUCCUGACGAUGACGAAACCCGACCGCCCAACAAGAUCGGAUGAGGGAAAAAAGCCCCUCGGCGGCACCUCCACGCUCCUAUGCAACCUCGCAAAAAGCGAGGGGAGGACCCCCACUCUGAGGAGAGGAAGAAAAUUAAAAAGGAAGGGUGACGAACUACAACGGAAACAGAUGAAGGACGAACCGCCCAAAAGACCUAAAGAACCUCGUCCCAACAAAGACGGGGAGUUCCUACCAAACACCCCCGGCCUCUAAGAAGACUCCCGACACAGGUCAAGAAGACAGCGACAUCCCCGAAGUAAUGCGGAGUCCGGACCGCCAAGCUCGGGCUUACGGCCAUGUACGACGAGGGAGGCAAGCUAAUGCAUCAACGACUGGGCGCCUCCUAACGACGUCAAUAUCAGACAAGUCGAACGACAAGAAAAGUUUGGCGGACGAUAAUUUAAUACAACGCACGGACGAGGUAACACAAAACACCAUUUUCAUUCUAUUUUUGAAAUACACACUACAAAGCCCGGAAGGCCAAGAAAAGAAAAGUAAAACGACAAAAGCGAGACAAAACAGC
Molecule: long non-coding RNA, 603 nt
Filed under: Elaeis guineensis (African oil palm)
Lineage: Eukaryota; Viridiplantae; Streptophyta; Magnoliopsida; Arecales; Arecaceae
Description: long non-coding RNA (EGUI_LNC078290)
Source: RNAcentral